Small nuclear RNA from Tupaia belangeri (northern tree shrew), 108 nucleotides. The record is from Ensembl. NCBI's taxonomy places the organism in Eukaryota, Metazoa, Chordata, Mammalia, Scandentia, Tupaiidae.
GUGCUCACUUCGGCAGCACGUAAUACUAAAAUUGGAACGACACAGAGAAGAUUGGCAUGACCCCUGUGCAAGGAUGACAUGCAAAUUCGGGAAGCAUUCCACAUUUUG